RNAcentral lists this ribosomal RNA (700 nucleotides) under uncultured bacterium. Its description in RNAcentral is "bacterial SSU rRNA". It matches the Rfam family "Bacterial small subunit ribosomal RNA", at positions 8 to 723 of the family's 1533-position model. The record is from RNAcentral.
AGAGUUUGAUCCUGGCUCAGAAUGAACGUUGGCGGCGUGGAUUAGGCAUGCAAGUCGCGCGAGAACCCUUUCGGGGGGGACAGCGGCGGAAGGGAGAGUAACGCGUAGAUACCUACCCUCGGGACCGGAAUAGCGACGGGAAACUGUCGGUAAUGCCGGAUAACGUCCCUGGACCAAAGGUGCGAUUCCGCCUGAGGAGGGGUCUGCGUCCUAUUAGCUAGUCGGCGGGGUAACGGCCCACCGAGGCGAAGAUGGGUACCGGGCGUGAGAGCGUGGCCCGGCUCACUGGGACUGAGACACUGCCCAGACACCUACGGGUGGCUGCAGUCGAGAAUCUUCGGCAAUGAGCGCAAGCUUGACCGAGCGACGCCGCGUGCGGGAUGAAGGCUUUCGGGUUGUAAACCGCUGUCAGUAGGGAGGAAAUUCGGGGGGGUCAUCCCCUUCGAUUGACCGAUCUGCAGAGGAAGGACGGGCUAAGUUCGUGCCAGCAGCCGCGGUAAGACGAACCGUCCGAACGUUAUUCGGAAUCACUGGGCUUAAAGAGUGCGUAGGCGGCUUGCCAGGUGGGGUGUGAAAUCCCUCGGCCCAACCGAGGAAUUGCGCUCCAAACCGGCAGGCUCGAGGAAGAUAGGGGCGAGCGGAACUGAUGGUGGAGCGGUGAAAUGCGUUGAUAUCAUCAGGAACACCAGUGGCGAAGGCG